Molecule: ribosomal RNA, 519 nt
Filed under: uncultured bacterium
Lineage: Bacteria
Description: bacterial SSU rRNA
Rfam family: Bacterial small subunit ribosomal RNA
Source: RNAcentral
AGAGUUUGAUCAUGGCUCAGGAUGAACGCUGGCUGUGUGCCUAAUACAUGCAUGUCGAGCGAAGCACUUCGGUGCUUAGCGGCGAAUGGGUGAGUAACACGUACUUAACCUACCCCCAAGAUUGGGACAACACCUGGAAACGGGUGCUAAUACCAAAUACGUAUUUUUAUCGCAUGAUAGAAAUAUAAAAGGAGCUUCGGCUUCACUAGGGGAUGGGAGUGCGCUACAUUAGUUAGUUGGUAGGGUAAUGGCCUACCAAGACGAUGAUGUAUAGCGGGGCCGAGAGGCUGAUCCGCCACACUGGGACUGAGAUACGGCCCAGACUCCUACGGGAGGCAGCAGUAGGGAAUUUUCCACAAUGAACGAAAGUUUGAUGGAGCGACACAGCGUGCAGGAUGAAGGUCUUCGGAUCGUAAACUGCUGUUAUAAGGGAAGAAAAACUUUAGUAGGUAAUGACUAGAACUUGACGGUACCUUAUCAGAAAGCGACGGCUAACUAUGUGCCAGCAGCCGCGGUAAU